Molecule: RNA transcript, 1908 nt
Organism: Ananas comosus (pineapple)
Lineage: Eukaryota; Viridiplantae; Streptophyta; Magnoliopsida; Poales; Bromeliaceae
Gene name: agmatine coumaroyltransferase-2-like
Exons: 2
Source: RefSeq, a predicted model, not a curated record
CACUCUCCCUCUCUCUCUCUCUAUAUUAUAAGAGAAAUGCUAAGUGUCUCUCUCUCUCUCUCUAGCACUGCACUUACUCUCUCUCUCUCUAGCAUUGCACUUAUUAUAAGUACUCCUACAAUGUUCUCUCAUACGAAACAUAUUGGCCAAUAAGUGACCACAAACCUAUAACCUCUCUCUCUCUCUCUCUCUCUCUCUCUCUCUCUCUCUCUCUCUCUCUCAGAUAUUAUAGAAACAGUUCCAAAACCAUGAAGGUUAAAGUAGAGAGCUCAAAGAUCCUCAAGCCUCUCUGCGAAGGAUAUUACCCUUCCACCGAUCAUGCCUACAUCCCCCUAAGCGUCUUCGACACCGUCACCUUCGACACGCACGUCGCCGUUCUCUACGCCUUCCGCCCACCGAGCCCUUCGAACUCUGCGAUACAGUCGGGCCUCGCCAGAGCGCUCGCCGUCUACCGAGAGUGGGCCGGUCGGCUCGGAGCCGACGAGGACGGCAACCCCGUAAUCCUCCUCAACGACGAGGGCGUGAGGUUGGUCGAGGCUUCUGUAGAUUUGCCGCUGUGUCGUGCCGUGCCGUUCAAGCCGUCGGCCGCGCUACUGAGCCUGCACCCCGGCGUGGACGGCGUGGCCGAGCUGGUGCAGGUCCAGCUGACGCGGUUCGCCUGCGGGUCGCUCGUAGUUGGGUUCACCGCGCACCACCACGUCGCCGACGGCCACGCCACCAGCAACUUCCUCGUCGCCUGGGGCCUGGCGUCGCGCGGCCUGGCGAUCCCCCCGCGGUCCCCUCUGCGCGACCGGGCGACACUCUUCGCCCCCCGCGAUCCCCCGAGGGUCGAAUUCGAGCACCGCGGCGUAGAAUUCACCACCCGAAAGCAACUCGCCGUCCUGAAGGACGAGAAUCCGUCCGACGGAAACCCGCCUGACAUCGCCGUCCACAAGGCGCACUUCACCCGCGAGUUCCUGACCAGCCUCAAGGCGAAGGCGUCCCUCGGGGCCCACCGGCAAUUCACCACCUUCGAGUGUCUGGUGGCGCACCUCUGGCGGGCCGUGACGAAGGCCCGCACUCUUCCCAACCACCAAAUAACUUUCUUACGAAUAUCAGUGAAUGGCCGCAUGCGAAUCAAACCGCGGGUGCCGAAGGAGUUCUUCGGCAAUUGCGUCCUCUGGGCAUUCCCCCGCGCUGCUGCGGGGGAGCUAGUGAGCCGGCCGCUGCGGCACGCGGCCGGGCUCAUCCACGAGGCGGUCGCGGGGGUCGACGACGCGUACUUCAGGUCGUUCGUCGACUUCGCAUCGUCGGGGGGGGCGAAAGCGGAGGGGCUGGUGCCGACGGCCGAAGCAGCGAAGGUGGUGAUGUGUCCGAACCUGGAGCUGGACAGCUGGCUAGGGUUUCCGUUCUACGACCUGGAUUUUGGAGGGGGGAGCCCCUUCUAUUUCAUGCCCACGUACUCUCCCAUGGAGGGGACCCUUUUCCUGUUGCCCUCGUUCAUGGGGGAUGGGAGUGUGGAGGCCUACGUCUCGCUCUUCGACCACAGCAUGGCCUCGUUCAAGAGGAUAUGCCACUCCCUCGACUACUAAACUCGGCGACGAUUAGUAUAAGGAGCCACAGUAAGUGCCGAGUUUACCAAAACCCACGCUGUGGUUAAAAUUAUUCAUGCAUGCAUGCAUGCGGAGGCUCAUUUUUUUUAUCGUGAGUUGUGUAUAUAUGCACCAGUUGGACCAGCUACAUAUAUAGGUAUUAAAUAUAUAAUAUUUUAUGGCUAAUAAUUUAAUAAUUUUCCUACCAUAUAACGAAUCUGUUCCUUGUGGAAUUUAAUUAUGUAAAAGUUAAUGUAUAAACUUAGCUGAAACUAUUUUGAUUUUACUGCUUAAUUUUUUAAAUUAUGUUAAUUUGAACCAAUUAAUUGUUCUUCUA